AAUAAACUAUUUUUUCACUUUUUACCUUCAAUUUUUAACUCUUCGUCUUAUUAAAAAAAUUUUGAGAUUAAUAUUUUUGUUUUUAUUAUAUGAUAAAUCUACUUACGUGUGACUAAUUUUUUUCUAAUUUCCUGAAAAAAUUUUAAAUAAGACAGAUGGUCAAACGUUGGACACGGAAACCGAAGAAUUCAUUUUUU
Molecule: microRNA precursor, 197 nt
Filed under: Oryza brachyantha (malo sina)
Lineage: Eukaryota; Viridiplantae; Streptophyta; Magnoliopsida; Poales; Poaceae
Description: MIR812 microRNA precursor family
Rfam family: MIR812 microRNA precursor family
Source: Rfam by way of RNAcentral